Molecule: ribosomal RNA, 519 nt
Filed under: uncultured eukaryote
Lineage: Eukaryota
Description: SSU rRNA
Rfam family: Eukaryotic small subunit ribosomal RNA
Source: RNAcentral
AGGGCACCACCAGGAGUGGAGCCUGCGGCUUAAUUUGACUCAACACGGGGAAACUUACCCGGCCUGGACACUGGAAGGAUUGACAGAUUGAGAGCUCUUUCUUGAUUCAGUGGGUGGUGGUGCAUGGCCGUUCUUAGUUGGUGGAGCGAUUUGUCCGGUUAAUUCCGAUAACGAACGAGACUCUAGCCUAUUAAAUAGGCUCUCGGCUUUUAAACGCCGGGAGGACUUCUUAGAGGGACAGGUGGCGGUUCAGCCGCACGAAAGAGAGCAAUAACAGGUCUGUGAUGCCCUUUGUUGUCCGGGGCCGCACGCGCGCUACACUGAAGAGAUCAGCGUGCUUUACGUUCCUGCUCCGACCGGAGUGGGGAACCCAGUGAACCUUCUUCGUGAUUGGGAUAGAAGAUUGUAAUUAUUCUUCUUGAACGAGGAAUUCCCAGUAAAUGCGAGUCAUAAGCUCGCGUUGAUUACGUCCCUGCCCUUUGUACACACCGCCCGUCGCUACUACCGAUUGAACGAUUU